This 1361-nucleotide long non-coding RNA is filed under the name Rosa chinensis. RNAcentral's name for it is "sRNA RchiOBHm_Chr6g0285511". The record is from RNAcentral. Lineage: Eukaryota; Viridiplantae; Streptophyta; Magnoliopsida; Rosales; Rosaceae.
UGACUUUGAGUCAUUCCCUAACCCUAACUCAUUUUCACCCGACCUCCUCGUCUUCCUCCUUCGCCUCUGAGCAGCACCUUACCCUUAUCACUCGCAACCCUUAAAACCUAGUCUCUGAGCUUCGACUGUUGUGCCUCCUCAACACCACAACCCUUCAGCACUGGCAUCGGAGAACCCCAUGAGGGAAAUCAAGGUCCGGAAGCUCGUCCUCAACAUCUCCGUCGCCGAGAGCGGCGAUUGUCUCACCAAGGCCGCCAAGGUCUUGGAGCAACUCAGCUUGAAGACUAGCCCUACAAUCUAAGACAUCAAGAACAUCCUUGGUGCCGAGAAGAUGGAGCUGCUGGGAUUGUUAAUGAUGGGUCUGAGCCUCUGAGGUGUUGUGCCAAAUGAAAGGCACGGUUGGGUUGAGUGCUCCUCUCAUGAUGCAAAGGUGUUGCUGAGACAGACAAGCCCAAAAGUAGGUGGGAAACUCAUGCAACUACUAUUCGACCAUGGCACUUCAAAAGGUAUUUAAGCAUUUCUAUGCCAUUAAAUUUGUUCCGUUUAUGUUCUAGAGAAUAAUAGAGAUUUUGUCAUGGUUUUAGCAAAGUAAGGCAAAAAGAAUGAGAUAUUCUACUGGGAUUGAUCGAAACCAAGUAAAGGUGUGAACUUUGAUCUUUGAUGUUGAUUAUAUUUCAGUUUGGGGAGUACCCAUUUCGGUUUUGUAAGUAAAGGUGUAAGCUUUAUUGACUGUCUUUUGGAGAAGCAUAGGGUGUUGUAGAGGUGUUUGCUUGUACUUGCUUUGAUUGGCACUUGUAGGGUGAUUGGUGAUGGUGUUCUCACACCAGCUAUUUCUGGUAAUUUUUGGGUUAUGGAUGGUAAAGUUGGAAAAAGUUUCUAUUUAGGACUAACUGGGAUUUUGCUUUAAAUUGGUGCAGUGUUUUCUACUGUUUCUAGACUUGAGUUUUCUAUGUCCGAAAAGCAUCACAAAUAAUUAAAGCCAUACAACAGGUGGACUGCCGACUUUUAUUGAUGUUGGAAAUAGCUUUGGUGCUCUAGCAAUUGUUGAAGAUAAUUUGUUACAUCAGUUGGCUCAAAUUCUCAAUAUUAGCUAAAGUGCACUUCUAUGUCAUGUUCUGUAGCCUUGCCUUUCUAUCAUAAGCUGAAAUCAAUUAAGGUGUGCCCGUUGUUAGACUGAUGUUCCUCUGUGCAUCGUUUACCGUUAUUCCAGUCUCCUGCUCUUAUUCAGUGGGCGGUAAAGGAUCGGAAAGGGUAUACCCAACAACAACUUGACGAGGUGCGCAUUGAAGUAGCCGACUACUUACAGACUGCUGCAGAUUCUGACCAGUUUCUUGAUUUUGAGUUAGGCUAGCUUUUGAUUA